RNAcentral lists this unclassified non-coding RNA (343 nucleotides) under soil metagenome. RNAcentral's name for it is "partial contains 5.8S ribosomal RNA, internal transcribed spacer 2, and large subunit ribosomal RNA". The stretch from base 1 to 120 matches the Rfam family "5.8S ribosomal RNA", at positions 35 to 154 of the family's 154-position model. The record is from RNAcentral.
GAUGAAGAACGUAGCGAAAUGCGAUAAGUAGUGUGAAUUGCAGAAUUCAGUGAAUCAUCGAAUCUUUGAACGCACAUUGCGCCCGCCAGCAUUCUGGCGGGCAUGCCUGUUCGAGCGUCAUUUCAACCCUCGACCUCCCUUUGGGGAAGUCGGCGUUGGGGACCGGCAGCACACCGCCGGCCCUGAAAUGGAGUGGCGGCCCGUCCGCGGCGACCUCUGCGUAGUAAACCAACUCGCACCGGAACCCCGACGUGGCCACGCCGUAAAACACCCAACUUCUGAACGUUGACCUCGAAUCAGGUAGGACUACCCGCUGAACUUAAGCAUAUCAAUAAGCGGAGGA